UCGUAACAAAUAGCGCCAGAACUCGCAAGCGGGACGGAAAUGUAGGCCUUUAAGGCUGCUACUACGCGGUGAGUUGACGAGGUGAAGGUGUUCGAAACAUUCGGCGGGGACCUUCCGGCACGAGGAGUGCCGUUAAGUUGGAGAGCAAAAUCGUUCGGGCGACCGGGCAGACAAGUAUCCAACAUCUAUUAAC
Molecule: non-coding RNA, 193 nt
Filed under: Paenibacillus pectinilyticus
Lineage: Bacteria; Bacillati; Bacillota; Bacilli; Caryophanales; Paenibacillaceae
Description: GlcN6P sequence
Rfam family: glmS glucosamine-6-phosphate activated ribozyme aptamer
About the family: This entry contains a glucosamine-6-phosphate activated ribozyme that is found in the mRNA for GlmS. GlmS is an enzyme that uses fructose-6-phosphate and glutamine to generate glucosamine-6-phosphate. The ribozyme catalyses self cleavage of the glmS mRNA that is thought to regulate GlmS activity.
Source: Rfam by way of RNAcentral